RNAcentral lists this long non-coding RNA (2065 nucleotides) under Salmo salar (Atlantic salmon). RNAcentral's name for it is "lncRNA (ENSSSAG00000099185.1, ENSSSAG00020084511.1)". Lineage: Eukaryota; Metazoa; Chordata; Actinopteri; Salmoniformes; Salmonidae. The record is from RNAcentral.
CGCCUUAGCAUUGAAUGCUAGGGAAGCAAGCGAGCAUUUGGCCUCCCCUGAUAAAAAAAAGCAUAAAUAAAUAGCAAUCAGCGUUGAGCUAAACUGAGUGAGCUCAACUGGGAAUGGUCCUGGCGCACCAAAAACAAGUGACAAGGGAAGCGAGUUUGGAUUUGGCUUCACUCCUAUCACAGAGAAACACGUUGUCGAUAGAAACAACUUGAAUUGUUGAAUCUCGUUGUGUUGUUGUCCUCUGGUGACUAGCUAGCUAGCUCAAAUUAUGCCUUUACUAAAUUAGCCAUGGAUGGAGAUAGAGAUUUGGACUUGUGGUUUUAAUUAAUUAUCUGUACUGGCCAAUGAUUAUAACGGCGAUUCGGAUCCAACCAUAAAAUACAUUGUGCCCCUGGACUGAGAGGAUGGAAGUUCAAUAUAUAGUUAGAUGUAGAAGGCUAAUGUUAACUAGCUAACGUUGCCCAUGAAAGGAAGUUAGGCUAGCGAGCAAGCAUUUUAGCCAGGUAGCCUAGGACAACAAAAAAUAAAAGCAUGUACUAUAUGACAGUCAUAAAGAUGGCAUUGGCGUUUCUCUACAAGUAGGGGAUCCUCUGAACACAUCAACAUCUGCCUCCCAUGAAGCAUCGUUACCUAUCGCUCCACAAAAGCCACAGCCCUACUACUUCAAGGUCUCAGAGUAUGUGAUGCACUGGCCCUAAUAUUUAUCUCUCUCUCUGAGGGAGGAGAGAGAGAGAUACACAUACCAGACAGGAUGUCCACUAUGUUUCUCUGGAUAUGAUUUCUUCCCAAAGUAUACCACAUCUCAGCUGUGUGUGUCCAUCUGUGUGUGUGAGUGUGUGCUGCUUAGGAUGGUUCCAGGCUCCUACAGAUCUGAGCCCUCUCUCAUUUAUACUCAAUUGGUUCCAAUUAGACUGUAUAGUGCACACCUAACACAAGGGCUGUGUCCCAACUGACACCCAAUUCCCUUAUAAUGCAUUACCUUUGACCAGGGCCCACAGCUCUAAAGUAGUGCACUAUAAAGGGAAUAGGGUGCCAUUGUGUCCCAAAUUCAUCAAGCAAGUCUGAUCAGCAUGGUCUAGCUUGUUAUGCUGGCAGACCAGCCUUUGUUGUGUUUUCGCUGGUGACUAGCCUUCAUUGUGUUUUGCUGGUGAUCAGCCUUCAUUGUGUUUUGCUGGUGAUCAGCCUUCAUUGUGUUUUGCUGGUGAUAAGCCUUCAUUGUGUUUUGCUGGUGAUCAGCCUUCGCUGUGUUUUCGCUGGUGACUAGCCUUCAUUGUGUUUUGCUGGUGAUCAGCCUUCGCUGUGUUUUUGCUGGUGACCAGUCACAUUAUGCUGGCUUGUGAAGUGAUGUUUCAUUCCUAUUAGAAUCCAGACAGAGUAGAUUCCCACAAUCUGCAUUCAGAAUGACUGCCAUGGUUAGAAAGAUGAAUGAAUGAGACUACAUAUACCAUGUAAACUAGAUCAACAAUUUCAGAAACAGGUGCAAUAUGUUCAACUGAUAGAUUGGAUUAGUUUAGAAAAAUGUAUGUUAUUUAGAAAAACAUCUAACUGCAAUAGAGCAUGAUGGGAAAUAUGAUAAUGAGAAGUGUGGUUUUGCAGACCUCUCGGUCACUGGCAUAGCACACCCCCCACGAGUUUUGGCCUUGUGUUUUAGGUUAUAGUCCUGUUGAAAGGUGAAUUCAUCUCCCAGUGUCUGGUGUUUAGCUCCAUUCCUUUACUUUAUUUUCCUGAAAACCUCCCCAGUCCAUAACGAUUACAAGCACACCCAUAACAUGAUCAAAUCAAAUCAAAUUGUAUUGGUCACAUACACAUGGUUAGCAGAUGUUAUUGCGAGUGUAGCGAAAUGCUGAUGCUUCUAGAUCCUACAGUACAGCAGUAUCUAACGGGUAAUAUCUAUCAAAUUCCACAACAAAUCCUAAUACACACAAUCUAGUAAAGGAAUGGGAUGAGAAUAUAUAAAUAUACGGAUGAGCAGUGACAGAGCGGCUAAGAUGUAAUAGAUAGUGUAGUAUACAGUAUAUACAUAUGAGAUAAGUAAUGUGAGACAUGUACACAUUCUAAAAGUGGC